This 481-nucleotide ribosomal RNA is filed under the name uncultured bacterium. Its description in RNAcentral is "partial 16S ribosomal RNA". It matches the Rfam family "Bacterial small subunit ribosomal RNA", at positions 28 to 507 of the family's 1533-position model. The record is from RNAcentral.
GAUGAACGCUGGCGGCGUGCUUAACACAUGCAAGUCGAACGAAGCACUUUAUUUGAUUUCCUUCGGGACUGAUUAUUUUGUGACUGAGUGGCGGACGGGUGAGUAACGCGUGGGUAACCUGCCUUGUACAGGGGGAUAACAGUUGGAAACGGCUGCUAAUACCGCAUAAGCGCACAGCAUCGCAUGAUGCAGUGUGAAAACCUCCGGUGGUAUAAGAUGGACCCGCGUUGGAUUAGCUAGUUGGUGAGGUAACGGCCCACCAAGGCGACGAUCCAUAGCCGACCUGAGAGGGUGACCGGCCACAUUGGGACUGAGACACGGCCCAAACUCCUACGGGAGGCAGCAGUGGGGAACACUGCACAAUGGGCGAAAGCCUGAUGCAGCGACGCCGCGUGAGCGAAGAAGUAUUUCGGUAUGUAAAGCUCUAUCAGCAGGGAAGAUAAUGACGGUACCUGACUAAGAAGCACCGGCUAAAUACGUG